UUUGAUUUACCCAAUGAAAUAAAUAACAAACGGUAAUCCAAUAUUAUAUUUACAAAUUAUGUACACUAAUUGAAAAAUGAUACAAAAUCCAACACAAUUCAAUAGCAAGGUAAAAAAAUUGAAAAUAAAAACAAAUGAGGGAGUGUAUACAAUAAAUAGGGUAGAUGUGAAUUAAUGGGCCUACACAUGCAAGAAGAAUCAGUCCAAUAUGACUAAUUCAUUUUAAACCUAAUUAGAC
RNAcentral lists this long non-coding RNA (238 nucleotides) under Lathyrus oleraceus (garden pea). RNAcentral's name for it is "Pisum sativum (pea) long non-coding RNA (PSAT_LNC009176)". The record is from RNAcentral. Lineage: Eukaryota; Viridiplantae; Streptophyta; Magnoliopsida; Fabales; Fabaceae.